GGGGUUGGUACCAAAGCCCAACGCAUUUCAAUGACCAAAAAGCCACCCAAAGUCGCUCGCGAUCCUCCCCAGACUUUGCCCAGCCGUGAAACACACUGCAAGGGCUCCCACCCAGGAUACGGAUACACCGUAAGGCACAGAGCAACGCAGCCCUUCUGCCUGUCGGUGCGCACACACUGCCUGCAGCCGGCUGUGCACCUUGGAUCCGGGCACAGAAAUCCCUCCUGUGCACACGGCUGAGCGCACAGAGGUGUGUGCAGCCCGCCGGGCAGCGCAUGGAAGCUGUUUCCAAGCGGCGAUCACCCAGGGUGCAAACAGCUCCGACACCAGCUGUGCUGAGCAGAGGUUUACGGCUGGCUUUGCAGCAGAGCGAGGCACAGAAGACGAACGCAGCCCCGUGCUGCUAAGACUUGGAAAGGAGACAGAAAGGCCUUCAACCUUCACGAUCCCACAUACGGCACUGCGGGGCGAGCUCAGCAAAACACAGUGCCUGCCCUGAGUCGUGGUAAACAUUCACUUACCGAGAGUGCCUCACACAUUUCCAAAAUACCCCCUUUCCUACAUGUGUUCCCUAUGGGAGAAAGAACAAAAAAGCAGACUGAGGAGCUCCCAGAGCAGCCCGAAUGAUUGCAGCUUUGGUGAUAUUAGGGGAGAGUUCCCAGUGCUCCCCCAUUUCGCUCUGGGUUUGCUGUGCCCGCUUAAAAAUAAAUAUUCAAAAAGUAAAAAAAAAACAAAUAAUAAUAAUAAUAAUAAUAAUACAAAUAAUUGAAAACAGACACGUAAUGAAGGGUAAUUCCAGGGGAAAAAAUACUUGUGUGCAGAACAAGAAAAAAAAAAGGUAUUUCUGUAAGGCAUCUCCCACUUUCCAGUUCUGCUGCAGUUCCCCUGAACUGCUGCUGCUCGCUGCAAUCUGCUGCCUGCUUAACCACGGAAUGACAGGCAACAUCUGUUUGUAUAGAAGCCAAAAUCAAAAUCAAGCCUGCACUAUUUUUUUGGCUCCGUUUCUUUCUUUUUU
Molecule: long non-coding RNA, 1015 nt
Filed under: Gallus gallus (chicken)
Lineage: Eukaryota; Metazoa; Chordata; Aves; Galliformes; Phasianidae
Description: lncRNA (ENSGALG00010026216.1)
Source: RNAcentral